GCGCGGUUGGUGUAAAGGAUAGCACGCGGCCCUUACGAAGCCGAAGGUCUGGGUUCGAUUCCCAGGCUGCGGCU
Molecule: transfer RNA, 74 nt
Filed under: Rhizobium sp. CRIBSB
Lineage: Bacteria; Pseudomonadati; Pseudomonadota; Alphaproteobacteria; Hyphomicrobiales; Rhizobiaceae
Description: tRNA-Arg
Rfam family: tRNA
About the family: Transfer RNA (tRNA) molecules are approximately 80 nucleotides in length.
Source: RNAcentral